UUACAAGGUCACAGGAGAGAAACCAGCAGUGACCCUGGACACAUCUCCUUCCUCCCAUAUGGUCUCCUGGAAGGUGUGAGGAGGAGAGUGGAUUUGGUGGAGAGUCAGGGAAUAUAGGAAGUGGGAACCUUUAAAGUCUUUGUGAAGGCAUCUCCCACCAGGCUGACAGGGGCCAGGCUGAUGCUGCGGCAGAGGGUUGGCCAUGUGGCCAAUAAAACCUCUGUCCUCUGUCCUUUGGCCAGUGGAUCCUCAUUUAAAUCACCCUUGUUUGGGAGAAGGCCACUCACCCCUGCUUUCCUGGGACCUUCUUGGUUUAGCACAGCUCUCCUGUGUCCUGAGAACACUCUCUGUCCCCAACAAACUGGGAGGGUUAGUCAACCUAGACUUCUGGUGGCAGGGCUACAGGGGAGCUGGUGUCUAGCUUCCCAUGACAACCACCAAAAGCAGAUAGGAAGGAGAUGGAGGCAGGAGACCAGGUCACAGUGCAGGGUCUAAGGUGGCUGCUACCUACCUUGGUCCCAGCACAGAGUUUGGGAGACCACCCGUGGCUCAGGUCAUUGGUCAUUUUUGUGAUUUUGGUCUCUAGGAGCCAAGAACAGAUGGGUGAGAAAACUUGAGGUUUUGCUCUGGACAAGAUCAAGACCCUGAGUUACAAAAGCAUGUGGGCCUUUGCGGUGUGUGUGUGUGUGUGUGUCUCUGUGUGUGCCUGUGUGUGUAUGUGUGUGAGUGUGGAUCUGGAGUAGUCUGGACACUGUCUUCCAGCACCAUUUGAGGAUGUUGAGUCAUCACUCAUGUUCAGUCUCCACCUGCAGAAGAAAUGGAAAAAAAAGUCUCUAAUUGAGAAGGGUCCCUGGUGGCUGGAGUCUCAGGACCCAGUUCUAACAGGAAGCCCAUUUCAGGAGGAAAUUCCUGGAAGGGAGGCUAGUCUUGCUCUGACUUCCCUGGANNNNNNNAGGCAUUUGGGAGUUGUCUGCCUUUUCAGAAGGACCAGCUGGCAUUUACUAACAGGCUGUGUCCAUAAAGCCCCUGGCGCUGAGCUCACCCUGGGCUGAGCUUUGCAGGGAUGGAGAGCAGUCAGAUAAGGCCCAGGGCUCAUCCCUGGACUUGUUCUCAGCUUGUAACUGUGUCAGUAAUGUGUCUGACUCUGUUCUCUAACACGGGAAAGCAGAUGGACACCAUUCCUGGAGAUAAGGCUGUUGAACUGGAGUCCAGUUUAGCUUGAAGGGGAGGCAAAAGUUUACCUUUACCCUAUUAGGAUUUUAUGUGUCAGGGCCUGUGACUUCAGCUGACAGCAGACAACUCAACAGGAGAAAAGCAGACAAGCUUAUUUAGUGCAAGUUGAACAUAAUAUGAGGGGAGACUUCUUAAGAAAUGAAAAAUCCCCAAAUUGGGAAAUUCACUUGCUUUUAUAUGUGUUUCAACAAAGAGAAGCAACUGUGGAAAAGUAACUACAUCAUGUGGGGAGGAUAAAAUAGGAUGAUUUUAUCAAGAUCUCUGUGUGCAAAAUUCUCUGGACUCAACUUUAUGUCCUGAUGAUAAGAAUGUUAUUUCCUUCUGGCAUAAAGGGGAUGCAUUUCAAUGGCAACUUAUUUCCUGCUUAGAAGNNNNNNNNNNNNNNNNNNNNNNNNNNNNNNNNNNNNNNNNNNNNNNNNNNNNNNNNNNNNNNNNNNNNNNNNNNNNNNNNNNNNNNNNUCAAUAUGCCAUAUCAACAUAUUUUACAGUGGGAAGUUUUGAAUUCCUUCGGGGGUAAACAUAAAAACAUGUUCAAGACUUUAAAUAGGCUCAGUUGUUUUAAAGCUAAGUCAUUUCACACUUUAGAGUCACUCUGGAGCUUCUUUGGCUGACCUGGUCCAGGCCAGUGGUUUGCUGUCUUCACUGCUCCCAACUUCAGCUCUUACAAAGGCGGCUUUCCAGUCACUUUGAGAAACAUUCCUUGGCCUUUGGGUAAAAACCUCCCUGCAAUUCAAUGCAUGACAAUAUGGAUAACAUAGGGGGAAAAAAUAAAAAGCUCAAGUGGCUUCAAAUAGAAGAGCAACGUUUCUAAGACCUGGAAACAUUGAUGAAAUACUAAUGGCUGGUGG
This 2081-nucleotide long non-coding RNA is filed under the name Capra hircus (goat). RNAcentral's name for it is "lncRNA (ENSCHIG00010012047.1)". The record is from RNAcentral. Lineage: Eukaryota; Metazoa; Chordata; Mammalia; Artiodactyla; Bovidae.